Non-coding RNA from Camellia sinensis, 609 nucleotides. The record is from RefSeq and is a predicted model, not a curated record. NCBI's taxonomy places the organism in Eukaryota, Viridiplantae, Streptophyta, Magnoliopsida, Ericales, Theaceae.
UAUUCUACAAACAAAAGUAAAAAACAAAACCCUAACAAUUCAUUCUCAUCUCAUCUCACACAUUUGCGCAGCUAGAGCCUGGAGGAGAGAGUUGAGCUCCUUCUCUCAUCUCAUAGCAGUCUCUCUCUCUCUCGUUUUUCAUCGCCGAUCGAUCUCUGCUUUCUCAUCGCAACUCUGUCCGCAGCUUCACUUCGAAUCUCACCCUCUCGUGCUUCACAAGAUCAACUCUGCUCAGCUUCACUUCAAAUCUCACUCUCUCGUGCUUCGCAAGAUCGACUCUGCUCAGGUACUUUGGAGUCAAGCACAUCUUCAACUUCAACCUAUAAUGUUGAUGCUAUAAUUGAUGUCUAAUAUCCAUUUGGUCAUUGUUUGUUUUUGUGCAGGGUUCAUCAACCAAAUGCAUGGAAUUAGAAUUGGAAUUGGAAUUGGAAUUGGAAUUUGUGAAAGUUGAAUUGGAUGUGAUUUAUGAAGAUAAAGUUUGAUAUCUUAGAAAUGUUUUAAUUUUAUUUCAUGGGUUUGUAUUGAAUGAAGUUUGACAACAAUUUUUUUUUUUUAUUUGUGUUUUGGUUUUGGAUGAAUGUAAGUUAAUGAAUUUUUAUUUUUUUUGCA